Molecule: long non-coding RNA, 1693 nt
Filed under: Mus musculus (house mouse)
Lineage: Eukaryota; Metazoa; Chordata; Mammalia; Rodentia; Muridae
Description: long non-coding RNA chr8:40547719-40549412
Source: RNAcentral
UGUUAAGGGUAUGCUAUGGAAUCCUCAGGCAGACCUACAGAUAUAGGUGAGAUAACAGGUGGAGUCAUGUUUCACAUUUGUGACCAACUUGGGGGCAUUCAGAGACUUCUGAGUGUACUGGUAUUUGUGUUUAACAUUCCCAGCAGUCACCAUAGUCAGUGGAGAAUUUGCCAGUCACAGUCUAGUUGCUUUCUUAAAAAACCAGGGAUAUCCCAGAACAAGAGACCAGCAGUCUUCUUAUUAAGGUUUCUGCUAGACACCUCACUCAGUAUUGUAGAAAGACUACCCAGAGACAACACAAGUGUGACACACAAACACAAACACACACCACACUUGCUCACCCAGGCCAGGGCAUGCUUUUCUUUAAAUUUGUAUUAUCCAAGUUUCAUUGUCAAUUAAUGAAGCAUAAUUUCUCCCUAAAAAUUCAGAGAGCCUCUUUACAAUCCAGACAUUAAACCAAGACAUUUGACCACAGUUGCUUGCCUUUAGCAAGUUGACAAACUAGUUCAGACAUGUUUAUUACUUGUAGUGAAUAUCUGAAUAUGCCAGUGUGAAUUUGCAUUCUUUAUUUGCAGGAGACAGAGUACAUGGUUGUAAUUUUAUGGCCAUAUUUUUUCUUUGUAAAAAUUGGCUAUAGAUCUGAAUACCAAACACAUACUCGGAUUUUACUUUAGUAUAAAGGAAAGCUUAGGAAUUACUAGACUACCUAGGUAGAAUUUGUCAAGGAUAUUUAAAGGUAAGCUGUAACAAGUCGGGAAAGUCAAAGUUGGGUGAAAACUUCAGAUUAAAUGAACAGAGUAUAGAACAAAGGUUGUUUGACCACAGUUUAUAUAUUUAAAUUGCAGGACAGCUAAGAUUCUGUUGUAGGAGAAAGAAGUAAAUUGAAGUUGUGCUUUCUGUUCUUUUAAGGCAGGGUUUCUAGCCCAGACUGCGCUCUAACUUUGAUGUAACUGAGGAUGACCUGGCUGUCGGGUCUUCCACCUCUUGAGUACUAGGAGCCUAAGCAUGUAUCACCAACCCCAGUCCUGUGGAGCUUGGGGACUGAGCUCAGGGCUUCAUGCCUGGAAGGAAGGCACUCUUAUCUAUUGGCCGACCUGCAUCCUCUUAAGGAAUGAAAACUUGGGCUGGGGAGGUGGCUAAGUGCUAACUUGUGUGUCAUGCAAGCAUGAGGGACCCGAUUCAAAUUCUUAGGACCUAUAUAAAAACCUGGUACAUGGUAGAACAGGCCUGAAAUUCCAUCACUCCUAUACAGGAGAGGAAUGAGAGACUUGUCCCAGGAAGCUUUGCAGGCCAAUUUAUAUAGUAGGCAGAAUGGCAGCCAGUGAGGCCCUUGUUACAAACAAGGUCGGGGCACGGCCUGACACCUGUUGUUCAGUGUUCCUCUCACUUCAGCACUGAAGGUUGCUGGGAGGUUUUGUUUUGUUUAAAUUGCCAAAUGACUUGUUCAAACAUGAUCAAAAUUACUAAUCAAUUGAGCUGUAACUAUUAAAGGUUGGGAAGUAAUGUCCUGAAUAAGUUAUAUAUUUUGAAGUAUUCUCUGAACACUGCACUAAAUAAUAAAACACCUCACAACUGAAGCUUCAUUUAGAGUGAACAUGUAGUACUAGAGGUUUCUAGUUGAAUCGACCAUGACUUAUCCAGGGACUCUGAAAGGCAGGCUGCAGUGAGCAUGUGUAGCUUCAGUAUUGACUUG